AGGAGGAAUAGAACUUUCUCCAGGAACCCAGGGACUUAUCCAGGGAUGACAAUCUAACUUUUUAGGGUCUGAUUGAAAGAUCUGCAUCCUUGUGGACAAGAACUUAACUCUACAGAGGAGAUUCCUCCUGCCACAGGAUUACACCUGGAAAGAUUUUAACAUUCUUUUCCUUUGUCAAGUCCCCAAAGGAUACAUUCCUGAUAGGGAAUCCUAGAGUUUAUUCUCCCUUGAAUGACUAAGGCCCUAGGCAAAGCUGAAGAGGAGUCUGGAUUCUGUGAGAAUGAACAAGGCAGCUGCUCGGAGUCGGCUGCUGAGGGGGCCAUCUGUUUAAGCAACGAGAAGUACGGAGCUAAAGAGGCACACGGUAUUCAAACAUGUGAGUUCCCUGCACCAGGGCUUCUGGUCAGUUCUUCAAUCAGGAGAGAAAAUGAUGCUUAGGUGUUAAAGGUUCAGGGGGAGCCGAAAUGACUUCAAUUGCCAAAAUAAACAGAAUUGCUUAAUUAAUCUAACUAAAAAAUCCUGUUCAGCAUUGGAUUAAAAAAAUCAUGUUGAUGCUGCCCCUGUUUAUUUGGCUGAAUCCUGGACUGAGAGGGUAUAUUUAGCCUCAGUGUGCUUGCAGGAUUGCAUCUUGCAGCUCAACAGGAAAUAUCUGGAGUCACAGCUAAAGAUAUCUCUGCAUGUUCAGAAAUUUACGAGCAGCUGUAAAAGUGGAGCUAUGGUGGGCAGAGUGCUGGAACAGUCUCCCUUUCAAAUGAGAGAGGCCGCUGAAUUAAACACUUGAAUAUACCAAGUUCAUGGCAGGCAGAGGGCACCUGACAUGCUAAAAAUAGCCAAAGUGGAAGUGCUUCUGUUGCUAAAAUAAUACUGAACUGGUAUGCUCCUUUUCUCAACCCACAAGAAAUGGGUGAAGGGGUAGAGGGUAGGCUCUGAGAUUCCAAAAAGUGUGUCAGAAGCUAUGCCAAGUGAAAGUCAUUUCCUCAUUUUGCCACUUUUCAAAAAUAAAUAGCUUUCUUAAGCUGAGCAAACUGAAGUAGCAGUAAUCAAUAUAUUAUUUUUUAAUAACACGAGACAGAAAUGGUAGCAGCAAAAAGACACUGCAUACCUGGAUCUGUAGUCCUGCUGACAAGCAAUCCUGCUGACGAGCAAACCUUUUCCAUCAUGGGCAAGACUCAUUUAUUUUUAAACAUCCUUUUGCUAGACUCCCUUAUCAGCAACUCCACGCCCUGCUCACCAAUGCCCGGCUGGAAAGGUCCCUACUUACUCCUGUGCACAUGCCUGGCAAGGCUGCUUGCUAAACAGCAUGGACAAGGGGACGUCUGUGCCCCUGCAUGUUGCCGGGCAGAGGAGGCUACGACCUUUUCCCGAAUGGCCAUUAGGUCCAAGAGCCACUGAACUUUCAUUCUGUGACCGAGGACAUUGUCUCAUCUUUCCAAGUCUCACUUGCCCUUUUGCCUGAUGUGGGGCUAAUAGAGAUUACCCUGGUGGCCUCCUGAAGUUGCUGUGCAGAUCUAGUGAGCUAAUGCAUGCGAGAGCACUUUGUGACUCCCAAAAGCCUGAAACCUGAUGGAGGAUGUGGUUGCUGUUGUUAUUGGGCAUUCUACUGGAAACGCGGGGAAAGAACAGCAACAUCUCCCGGUGAUAAGGGAGUGCUGUGCACAGACAUUGAGUGUGUUCUCUUUUGUGGGAUGGUGCCAUCUUCCACAGGUACAAGCACUGUCCACAUCCCACUGAGAGCAGCAGGGGCCACAGGAAGUCCGCUUGCUUUCAAUGAGCUUGGCAUGGCUCACUGCCGGCAUCGCGGCCACACUCCUGCUUCAGUGACUGCACCUACUCUGGGCAGCUCCCAAUGCAGGGCUGGGCCUGGGUUCACGGGGAAGCAGGGGCUGAGACAGAGGUGAUAACAUAGGAUGUGACUGUUUAAAUUCACCUGGCUUCGGUCAACAUUGACAGAAGGUGUACAUGACUCUACGGGAAUGGGGAAAUGGCAGCACCAGGGGCUGACUGAGCCCCAGUCCUGACUGUGACUGCUUUGGUAACAACAAGGUGUUUAGGAAGAACAGUCCCAGUCCUUUUCCAAAGGUCGCCUCCUGGUGUUUACUAAAGGAACUCUGAGUCUCAGCAGAAGCAGAAGUCCUACCAUUAGCUUGCAGAACCCUUCAGGAUGGGAAAGAAGACUUGGGCUUCAGUGACUCAGCCUGGAGCUGGGAACAGGCAGGCAGGGAUACAGAGUGGGUGUUCUUCUCCUACAGGAGGAGAGAUGCAUCCCUCAUGCCCAGAGAGGCUCUGGGGUCCCCGAAUCCAGAGGUAGUAGAAGAAGAGUCAAAACACACUCUCCUGAGAACACAUCUCAGGUGCAUGGAACACAAGACACGCUGCUUUGAUUAGGGUGCUCUCUUGUCCAUUUUGUUCUAUAAUCCACAAGAGAAGACCAUCUGCACAGCAGUGACAUGCUCUAGUUGACCAUGAUGAGCCUUUCCUAGGGAAACUAUUUUGAGUGGUAUAUCUUACAGGAGACUGCAAGGCUCAAUAGUACAGUCACCAGGAAAAUCUACAUGUAAAUAUGACACUUAUGAACCGGCAAUAAAAUAUGGUGAGUCUAAAGACCUUCCAUGUCAAAGUUCUUUUUCUUUUUUUUUUUUGACGGAGUUUCACUUUAGUUGCCCAGGCUGGAGUGCAGUGGUGUGAUCUUGGCUCACCACAACCUCCGCCUCUUGGGUUCAAGCCAUUCUCCUGCCUCAGCCUUCUGAGUAGCUGCAAUUACAGGCAUGUGCCACCACAUCUGGCUAAUUUUGUGUUUUUAGUAAAGAUGGGGUUUCUCCAUGUUGGUCAGGCUGGUCUUGAACUCCUGACCUCAGGUGAUCCACCCGCCUUGGCCUCCCAAAGGGCUUGGAUUACAGGCGUGAGCCAUCGCGCCCAGCCUCUUUUUUUUUUUUUUUUUUUUAAAGACACAGUCUCCCUCUGUUGCCCAGUCCGGAGUGCAGUGGCACAAUCAAGGUUCACUGCAGCCUCAAACUCCUGGGUUCAGGCGAUCCUCCUACUUCAGCCUCCUGAGUAGCUGGGACCACAGGUGUAUACUACCAUGUCUCAGCUAGUUUUUUAUUUUUUAAUUUUAUUUUUGUAGAGACAGGGCCUCACUAUGUUGCCCAGGUUGGUCUCAAUCUUCUGGGCUCCAGCGAUCCUCCCGCCUUGGCCUCCCAAAGUACGGGCAUUACAGGCAUGAGCCACUGUGCCCAGCCAAGGCUCCUUGUCUGUGAGGAGGAUUCAGAGACAUCUUAGAAAUUUUCAUUACCUUUGCCUAUGAAUUAAGUAUAUAGUAUCGGCAAAAAAUAUUUGGACACUUCUGGCUUAAAUGGAUGGAAGCUUUAAGAGUUCAACCGUUGUUCCCAUGGACAGGGC
Molecule: long non-coding RNA, 3396 nt
Filed under: Homo sapiens (human)
Lineage: Eukaryota; Metazoa; Chordata; Mammalia; Primates; Hominidae
Description: MAML3 antisense RNA 2 (MAML3-AS2)
Source: RNAcentral